AGUGAACGCUGGCGGUAGGCCUAACACAUGCAAGUCGAGCGGCAGCACAGUAAGAGCUUGCUCUUACGGGUGGCGAGUGGCGGACGGGUGAGGAAUACAUCGGAAUCUACUUUUUCGUGGGGGAUAACGUAGGGAAACUUACGCUAAUACCGCAUACGACCUACGGGUGAAAGCAGGGGAUCUUCGGACCUUGCGCGAUUGAAUGAGCCGAUGUCGGAUUAGCUAGUUGGCGGGGUAAAGGCCCACCAAGGCGACGAUCCGUAGCUGGUCUGAGAGGAUGAUUAGCCACACUGGAACUGAGACACGGUCCAGACUCCUACGGGAGGCAGCAGUGGGGAAUAUUGGACAAUGGGCGCAAGCCUGAUCCAGCCAUACCGCGUGGGUGAAGAAGGCCUUCGGGUUGUAAAGCCCUUUUGUUGGGAAAGAAAAGCAGCAGGUUAAUACCCCGCUGUUCUGACGGUACCCAAAGAAUAAGCACCGGCUAACUUCGUG
This 492-nucleotide ribosomal RNA is filed under the name uncultured bacterium. Its description in RNAcentral is "partial 16S ribosomal RNA". It matches the Rfam family "Bacterial small subunit ribosomal RNA", at positions 29 to 507 of the family's 1533-position model. The record is from RNAcentral.